Molecule: ribosomal RNA, 119 nt
Filed under: Pteropus alecto (black flying fox)
Lineage: Eukaryota; Metazoa; Chordata; Mammalia; Chiroptera; Pteropodidae
Source: RNAcentral
UACUAUGGCCAAGCCACCCUGAACAAGUCCUAUCCUGUCUGAUCUCGGAAGCUAAGCAGGGUCGGGCCUAGUUAGUACUUGAAUGAGAGACCACCUAGGAAGACCAGGCGCUGUAGGCG